This 492-nucleotide ribosomal RNA is filed under the name uncultured bacterium. Its description in RNAcentral is "partial 16S ribosomal RNA". It matches the Rfam family "Bacterial small subunit ribosomal RNA", at positions 29 to 507 of the family's 1533-position model. The record is from RNAcentral.
AGUGAACGCUGGCGGUAGGCCUAACACAUGCAAGUCGAACGGCAGCACAGUAAGAGCUUGCUCUUACGGGUGGCGAGUGGCGGACGGGUGAGGAAUACAUCGGAAUUUACUUUUUCGUGGGGGAUAACGUAGGGAAACUUACGCUAAUACCGCAUACGACCUACGGGUGAAAGCAGGGGAUCUUCGGACCUUGCGCGAUUGAAUGAGCCGAUGUCGGAUUAGCUAGUUGGCGGGGUAAAGGCCCACCAAGGCGACGAUCCGUAGCUGGUCUGAGAGGAUGAUCAGCCACACUGGAACUGAGACACGGUCCAGACUCCUACGGGAGGCAGCAGUGGGGAAUAUUGGACAAAGGGCGCAAGCCUGAUCCAGCCAUACCGCGUGGGUGAAGAAGGCCUUCGGGUUGUAAAGCCCUUUUGUUGGGAAAGAAAAGCAGCAGGUUAAUACCCCGCUGUUCUGACGGUACCCAAAGAAUAAGCACCGGCUAACUUCGUG